UACGGAGGGUGCAAGCGUUAAUCGGAAUUACUGGGCGUAAAGCGCGCGUAGGUGGUUUUGUAAGUCGGAUGUGAAAGCCCUGGGCUCAACCUGGGAAUUGCAUUCGAUACUGCUUAACUAGAGUAUGGUAGAGGGAAGUGGAAUUUCCGGUGUAGCGGUGAAAUGCGUAGAUAUCGGAAGGAACACCAGUGGCGAAGGCGACUUCCUGGGCCAAUACUGACACUGAGGUGCGAAAGCGUGGGUAGCAAACAGG
This 253-nucleotide ribosomal RNA is filed under the name uncultured bacterium. RNAcentral's name for it is "partial 16S ribosomal RNA". It matches the Rfam family "Bacterial small subunit ribosomal RNA", at positions 524 to 776 of the family's 1533-position model. The record is from RNAcentral.